GAUGAACGCUAGCGACAGGCCUAACACAUGCAAGUCGAGCGGCAGCACCUCGGGUGGCGAGCGGCGCACGGGUGAGUAACGCGUAUGUAACCUGCCCAUGAGUGGGGGAUAGCCCGGUGAAAACCGGAUUAAUACCCCAUGACACCAUUGUCUGACAUCAUUUAAUGGUUAAAGAUUCAUUGCUCAUGGAUGGACAUGCGUUGGAUUAGCUAGUCGGCGGGGCAACGGCCCACCGAGGCUACGAUCCAUAGGGGUUCUGAGAGGAAGGUCCCCCACAUUGGUACUGAGACACGGACCAAACUCCUACGGGAGGCAGCAGUGAGGAAUAUUGGUCAAUGGGCGGAAGCCUGAACCAGCCAAGUCGCGUGAAGGAUGAAGGUAUUAUGUAUUGUAAACUUCUUUAGCUGUGGAGAAAUAAGGGGCAUGCAUGCCCUGAUGCUAGUACACAGAGAAUAAGGAUCGGCUAACUCCGUGCCAGCCGCCGCCGUAAUAC
Molecule: ribosomal RNA, 493 nt
Filed under: uncultured bacterium
Lineage: Bacteria
Description: bacterial SSU rRNA
Rfam family: Bacterial small subunit ribosomal RNA
Source: RNAcentral